RNAcentral lists this ribosomal RNA (429 nucleotides) under Bacteroidota bacterium. Its description in RNAcentral is "Bacteroidetes bacterium partial 16S ribosomal RNA". It matches the Rfam family "Bacterial small subunit ribosomal RNA", at positions 355 to 776 of the family's 1533-position model. The record is from RNAcentral. Lineage: Bacteria; Pseudomonadati; Bacteroidota.
UAGGGAAUCUUCCGCAAUGGACGCAAGUCUGACGGAGCAACGCCGCGUGAGUGAAGAAGGAUUUCGGUUCGUAAAACUCUGUUGUUAGAGAAGAACAGCGCAUAGAGUAACUGUUAUGCGUGUGACGGUAUCUAACCAGAAAGCCACGGCUAACUACGUGCCAGCAGCCGCGGUAAUACGUAGGUGGCAAGCGUUGUCCGGAUUUAUUGGGCGUAAAGCGAGCGCAGGCGGUCAAUUAAGUCUGAUGUGAAAGCCCCCGGCUCAACCGGGGAGGGUCAUUGGAAACUGGUUGACUUGAGUGCAGAAGAGGAGGGUGGAAUUCCAUGUGUAGCGGUGAAAUGCGUAGAUAUAUGGAGGAACACCAGUGGCGAAGGCGACUCGCUGGUCUGUAACUGACGCUGAGGCUCGAAAGCGUGGGUAGCAAACAGG